GACGAGAAGCUUGCUUCUCUGAUGUUAGCGGCGGACGGGUGAGUAACACGUGGAUAACCUACCUAUAAGACUGGGAUAACUUCGGGAAACCGGAGCUAAUACCGGAUAAUAUUUUGAACCGCAUGGUUCAAAAGUGAAAGACGGUCUUGCUGUCACUUAUAGAUGGAUCCGCGCUGCAUUAGCUAGUUGGUAAGGUAACGGCUUACCAAGGCAACGAUGCAUAGCCGACCUGAGAGGGUGAUCGGCCACACUGGAACUGAGACACGGUCCAGACUCCUACGGGAGGCAGCAGUAGGGAAUCUUCCGCAAUGGGCGAAAGCCUGACGGAGCAACGCCGCGUGAGUGAUGAAGGUCUUCGGAUCGUAAAACUCUGUUAUUAGGGAAGAACAUAUGUGUAAGUAACUGUGCACAUCUUGACGGUACCUAAUCAGAAAGCCACGGCUAACUACGUGCCAGCAGCCGCGGUAAUACGUAGGUGGCAAGCGUUAUCCGGAAUUAUUGGGCGUAAAGCGCGCGUAGGCGGUUUUUUAAGUCUGAUGUGAAAGCCCACGGCUCAACCGUGGAGGGUCAUUGGAAACUGGAAAACUUGAGUGCAGAAGAGGAAAGUGGAAUUCCAUGUGUAGCGGUGAAAUGCGCAGAGAUAUGGAGGAACACCAGUGGCGAAGGCGACUUUCUGGUCUGUAACUGACGCUGAUGUGCGAAAGCGUGGGGAUCAAACAGGAUUAGAUACCCUGGUAGUCCACGCCGUAAACGAUGAGUGCUAAGUGUUAGGGGGUUUCCGCCCCUUAGUGCUGCAGCUAACGCAUUAAGCACUCCGCCUGGGGAGUACGACCGCAAGGUUGAAACUCAAAGGAAUUGACGGGGACCCGCACAAGCGUGGAGCAUGUGGUUUAAUUCGAAGCAACGCGAAGAACCUUACCAAAUCUUGACAUCCUUUGACAACUCUAGAGAUAGAGCCUUCUUCGGGGGACAAAGUGACAGGUGGUGCAUGGUUGUCGUCAGCUCGUGUCGUGAGAUGUUGGGUUAAGUCCCGCAACGAGCGCAACCCUUAAGCUUAGUUGCCAUCAUUAAGUUGGGCACUCUAAGUUGACUGCCGGUGACAAACCGGAGGAAGGUGGGGAUGACGUCAAAUCAUCAUGCCCCUUAUGAUUUGGGCUACACACGUGCUACAAUGGACAAUACAAAGGGCAGCGAAACCGCGAGGUCAAGCAAAUCCCAUAAAGUUGUUCUCAGUUCGGAUUGUAGUCUGCAACUCGACUACAUGAAGCUGGAAUCGCUAGUAAUCGUAGAUCAGCAUGCUACGGUGAAUACGUUCCCGGGUCUUGUACACACCGCCCGUCACACCACGAAGAGUUUGUAACACCCGAAGCCGGUGGAGUAACCUUUUAGGAGCUAGCCGUCGAAGGUGGGAC
This 1412-nucleotide ribosomal RNA is filed under the name Staphylococcus aureus. Its description in RNAcentral is "16S ribosomal RNA". It matches the Rfam family "Bacterial small subunit ribosomal RNA". The record is from RNAcentral. Lineage: Bacteria; Bacillati; Bacillota; Bacilli; Caryophanales; Staphylococcaceae.